CUUCAUUUUUAUUAUUCAGUCCAUUAUUCUCCGAUCCACUCUCCUCUUUUAAAACUCUUCCUCUCUAAAUUGGCGUCAAAGCGACGCCGGUUCAUUGGCGCCAAUUGCGACGGCGGAAUGCUGGAAAAUCACGGCAAAUUCUUGGCCAGAUUCUUUGGGAUAAGAUAUACACAGAAGCAUGGUAUACAGAAUCAAAAGAGUACGAUUAUCGUUCUGAGUUGAUUUGCUCAGAUGUUCAUAAGACUUUACACUCCUGUCCAAGAGGGGAAAUGGGAUUUUCCUCUGCAAGACAGUAAUAGAUGAAACCUGGUCCAACUGCAACCCAUUGGGCCAUAGGCUCCCAUGGUCAGUCUUUUCCUUUUCUGGCAUGUACUCUCCUGCGAAGACAUGUUAGGGAGGGCUGGAAUAUUUGCAGAAGACGGUUCCACUGAGAUUCGAACUCGGGCUAUUGGAUUUAGAGUCCAAUGAUUUAACCACCAGACCAUGGAACUCCUUCAAGGCUAACUUUAUAUUAGAAGUAAAAUCUGGGAGAAUAUCGUAUAAUCUGGCUACAUCUGGAACAGUGAAGCUGAAGACUAUAACAUUCAAUGAUAAGGAGAACUUAGGGUCGGGAAUUUUAUCUGUCGUAUAUGAUGGUGGCCCGUGGCCCCGAAGAGAUGAUAGGGAGAGAGAUAUUGGCUGUUUGAAGACUAAGUGGUCACUGGUCAGAGUCUACCUCUGUUGCAUUCAUGGUGUAUGCAUCACUGUGAUACAUGAUCAUAUUUGUGGGUCAAUUGAAGCAGGUUCAGCUUAGUUCUAAGAAGUCCUACCCUGGACACACUUACACAGGGCGAUCUAGGUGAAUUGUCCCCCUUCAUCAUAUAAAGGUAUGCACUCGCAUUAUAAAAGGCAAAAAGAGGCAAUAUAUAUGAAGUAAGCCCAUUCUCAAAUCUAAAUUGCUUGGGAAAUCUACUGCCUGAUGGAGUGAUGGAUAAAAAAUCUUGAUUUUAACAUAUACUUCGUAUGUAGUACCCCUUGGCAUUUUACUUGCGAUUUGUUUUGGACCUAUGAAUGAACUAAAAAAACUGAGGUACUUCGUAAGUAUUAUUCAUGUAUCUUCUUCCUUUUUAACAUAAAAAUACCUUUAAAAUAUAGUGCAAAUAUUCUUUAAGUAAUUAAGAUAAAACUUUGGAGCAGAAUAUUGAAUGUUAAUAGGAUGAUUGUCAUAUGGACGAUGUUACUGAUGAGGUCUUGAGCAAGCAGUCACUACAUCUUCCCAAGGUCAUUAAUCAACGCUCUAUAGGCUUCUGAAAGAGGUAAUCUGGUGAUUUAGAUUUUCCCCUGUUAGGCAACUAUCUGAAGGAUUCUUUAGCUAUAUGAAGGAGAAAGAUUGGUCUUUAAAGCCCUUUAGAUCUGUCACAGUCAGAGCUGGUUCACUGCAGCUUCAUGUUUUAUGAUUGUAUAUUGAUUUUAUAUGAUAAAAUCCUAACUUCUUAUGGCUCAAUUGGUCUCAAUGUCAGUAGAAUGGUUGCUGUCGUGGUGGUCCUUUCAUAGCAAUAUCCAUAGAAUCAUGUCAUGUAGAGAUAACAAAUUUAUGGGUUAACGUCUUUGUGAUACAAUGAACAAGACAGCGGUAGCUCCAAAUUCUCCAAAGAUGUGAGAACUGAGGCUGCGACAUACUACAUGAAUAUGCUCGUGAAGGAUUUACUGCUGCUUUAUUUUGUAAUUUUCUCCCAACACGUAGCUAGCAUUUGUGUGCUUACAUUUGUUGUUUGCUUUACAGGUCGUAGCUGAUAAAGUUGAUUGUCUGUACUUUCUCCUCAUCAAGCGAGUGUCCAGUUUCAUUGAUAUGGUACAUACUCCCUCUCUGUUGGGGGCUAGUUGUCGCAUAAUCCUACUCACAUAGACAGGUAAAGAUUUACGAAGUUCACUAAGAUAAUUAGUUUAUGUUGUUUCAACUUCUCUUCACCUCUCUGUAGACGAAAGUGUAAAAAUUCUUCCCGAACAUUCUAAAAUAGUAUUCUGUAAUAUUACAUAUUGACUUAUUUAUGAAAGAACAGGGGACAAUAUAUCAUCUGGUACCUCAAAUUUUACCCA
Chenopodium quinoa (quinoa) is the source of this 2076-nucleotide long non-coding RNA. RefSeq lists it as uncharacterized. NCBI's taxonomy places the organism in Eukaryota, Viridiplantae, Streptophyta, Magnoliopsida, Caryophyllales, Amaranthaceae. The record is from RefSeq and is a predicted model, not a curated record. The transcript has 5 exons.